UGGGGCGGAGCACGAAGGGGGCGGAGCCGGAGGACGUCUGAAGCGCGCAGUUCUAGUCACCUUACGUGAUGAAUUUGUCGUUCCUUAUUUAAUUUUUUUUUUCCAUAUUCAAGUUAUGUUUUUUCCUGUCGUUCUUUAAUUUAAAAAUCAGCUCCUGGGGUGCCUGGCUGCUCAAUCGGUGGAGCGUCCCACUUGAUAUCGGGGUCGUGAGUUAAGGCCCCACAUUGGGCGUAAAGCUUACUUAAAAAAAUAUAUAUAUUAUAAAUAAAAAUCAGCGCCAUUGUGCCCACUGAGCCCUGGCCUAGCCGAGUUUCCAGUUCGGUGGAGCUGACUCCUUACUGAGACCUUUUCUUUCAUCUAUGGACUCAGGCUGUUGGGAGCCCAAGGAAGGGUGUUGCAGACUCUGCCUGUGGAAAGGUUUCCUAGGAGAAGUCAUUGCUUAACACCUUUGAGCCUGAAGUUUCUCAUCUGGAAAAUGGCAGUGAUCGAACCAAUCUCAGGGAAGGAUUUAAAGAUACCUGCUGCUGUCGGGCUCUCUGCUGCUGGUGCGGAGCCUGCUUUGGAUCCUCUGUCCCCCUGUCCCUGCCCCUCUGUAUCAAAAAUAAAUAAACAUUAAAAAAAGGGAUACCUUCUGCUGAUGCAGCAUAUUGAA
Molecule: long non-coding RNA, 652 nt
Organism: Panthera uncia (snow leopard)
Lineage: Eukaryota; Metazoa; Chordata; Mammalia; Carnivora; Felidae
Exons: 2
Source: RefSeq, a predicted model, not a curated record